GUCCUCCUUCACUACCUUUAUCUCCCCAAGCUACAAAGUCUUGCAGUCUGCAAACUUUGGCUUGAGUAAUCUGGUCUCCUUGAAUUUCAGAACCAGCACAGGAGAGUUGGGAGGUUCUGCCUGGAAGGCAAAAGACAGGAGGGACUCACCUACUGCACAAAGGACGAGUCAGAAGCACCCAGCUGUACCCACUGUCUGCCAGGGGCUUUAGGUCUGAGGAGCCAGAACAGUGUCUCUGGCUACUGCCCCAGCAAUUUGUGCCAAUUCCAGACAACUCCAGAUGUGUGUCUUUCCUACCAGUAUCUGCAGAGACUUGGCUCUGGAGACGGGGAUCUGGUUGCCAACAUACUGCCUCCUGGUGCUUUCAGCCCCAAGGGUCGAGUUCCUGCUGCCACACUCUCCUCCCUGGCUGUGCUGCCAGACAUGCUGCGGGAUGGAGGGCAGACAUGCUGUCUUUCAAUUCCCUGCCAUCUUCAAGGGUGUCAUCAGAAUCAUGGGGG
Molecule: long non-coding RNA, 500 nt
Organism: Aquila chrysaetos chrysaetos
Lineage: Eukaryota; Metazoa; Chordata; Aves; Accipitriformes; Accipitridae
Exons: 3
Source: RefSeq, a predicted model, not a curated record